UACGGGGGGGGCAAGCGUUGUUCGGAAUUACUGGGCGUAAAGGGCUCGUAGGUGGCCAACUAAGUCGGACGUGAAAUCCCUCGGCUUAACCAGGGAACUGCGUCCGAUACUGGUUGGCUUGAGUUUGGGAGAGGGAUGCGGAAUUCCAGGUGUAGCGGUGAAAUGCGUAGAUAUCUGGAGGAACACCGGUGGCGAAGGCGGCAUCCUGGACCAAUAUUGACGCUGAGGAGCGAAAGCCAGGGGAGCAAACGGG
RNAcentral lists this ribosomal RNA (253 nucleotides) under uncultured bacterium. RNAcentral's name for it is "partial 16S ribosomal RNA". It matches the Rfam family "Bacterial small subunit ribosomal RNA", at positions 524 to 776 of the family's 1533-position model. The record is from RNAcentral.